AUACGGAGGGUCCGAGCGUUAUCCGGAAUCAUUGGGUUUAAAGGGUCCGUAGGCGGGAAUCUAAGUCAGUGGUGAAAUCUUACAGCUCAACUGUAAAAUUGCCAUUGAUACUGGAUUUCUUGAAUUAGUGUGAAGUGGUUAGAAUGUGUAGUGUAGCGGUGAAAUGCAUAGAUAUUACACAGAAUACCAAUUGCGAAGGCAGACCACUAACACUAUAUUGACGCUGAGGGACGAAAGCGUGGGGAGCGAACAGGAUUAGAAACCCUAGUAGUCC
This 274-nucleotide ribosomal RNA is filed under the name uncultured bacterium. Its description in RNAcentral is "partial 16S ribosomal RNA". It matches the Rfam family "Bacterial small subunit ribosomal RNA", at positions 523 to 796 of the family's 1533-position model. The record is from RNAcentral.